Long non-coding RNA from Branchiostoma belcheri (Belcher's lancelet), 552 nucleotides. RefSeq lists it as uncharacterized. The transcript has 3 exons. The record is from RefSeq and is a predicted model, not a curated record. NCBI's taxonomy places the organism in Eukaryota, Metazoa, Chordata, Leptocardii, Amphioxiformes, Branchiostomatidae.
GCAAGUUUUUUGUUAAUUUUCUGUUGGGUGUUUUUUUUAAUAGUGAGCUAUUGCAAAAAUUAUUUCACAAAAUUUCCUAUUUGAAAAAUGAUUUUUAUUUCUCUGUUUCACAUCCGUUUUGUGCAGGGCUCUUUCAUGUAGUGCACCAGUGGAGGUGUACUCUGCGCGAGUCAAGUCUAGGGCACUGGCCAUUCUGCCACUGGUAUGCUGGCAGUGUGGGGAAACAGACACGCUUCCCAUCCCUCCAGAGAAACUGCAGUGUUUCAGAGCAUUCAUCCAGUGUGCCAGGUUUGCAAAGCCACUCGUGUUGAAGAGCGUACAAGAGUAAAGAGAAAGCUGGAGAGGAAGGGAUCUAGAGAGGAAGAAGAUGGACCACUAACUUUCAGGGAGAGAAAACUGCGAAGGAGGAAGCUGCGAAGGAGGAAGCUGUGAAGGAGGAUGAGACCUGAAUAAGACUAACUACAUCUACCUCCUGCAAAUAAAAACUUGUUUGAUGCAGUCACUGUGUCCUGUGGUUCAAUCCGCAAUAUCGGCUUUGUAUUCCUGUGGUUA